GAUGAACGCCGGCGGCGCGCUUAACACAUGCAAGUCGAACGAUUAAAGCACCUUCGGGUGUGUAUAAAGUGGCGAACGGCUGAGUAACACGUGUGCAACCUGCCCCUCUCAUUGGGAUAGCCACGGGAAACCGUGGAUAAUACCGAAUACUUUGGGACUUCAGCAUGGAAGACUCGAGCAAGCUCCGGCGGAGUGGGAUGGGCUCGCGGCCUGGUAGCUUGUUGGUGGGGUAAUGGCCUACCAAGGCAAUGAUGGGUACCUGGGUUGGGAGACCGACCAGCCACCUUGGGACUGAGACACGGACCAGACGCCUACGGGGGACAGCAGUGGGGAAUCUUGCACAAUGGGCGCGCGCCUAAUGAGGAGACGCCGCGUGCGGGAAGAAGGCCUUCGGGUUGUAAACCGCUUACAGCAGGGACGAGGCGAAAGUGACGGUACCUGCAGAAGAAGCCCCGGCUAACUACGUG
Molecule: ribosomal RNA, 467 nt
Filed under: uncultured bacterium
Lineage: Bacteria
Description: partial 16S ribosomal RNA
Rfam family: Bacterial small subunit ribosomal RNA
Source: RNAcentral